GAUGAACGCUGGCGGCGUGCCUAAUACAUGCAAGUCGAGCGAACGGACGAGAAGCUUGCUUCUCUGAUGUUAGCGGCGGACGGGUGUGUAACACGUGGAUAACCUACCUAUAAGACUGGGAUAACUUCGGGAAACCGGAGCUAAUACCGGAUGAUAUUUUGAACCGCAUGGUUCAAAAGUGAAAGACGGUCUUGCUGUCACUUAUAGAUGGAUCCGCGCUGCAUUAGCUAGUUGGUAAGGUAACGGCUUACCAAGGCAACGAUGCAUAGCCGACCUGAGAGGGUGAUCGGCCACACUGGAACUGAGACACGGUACCGACUCCUACGGGAGGCAGCAGUAGGGAAUCUUCCGCGAUGGGCGAAAGCCUGACGGAGCAACGCCGCGUGAGUGAUGAAGGUCUUCGGAUCGUAAAACUCUGUUAUUAGGGAAGAACAUAUGUGUAAGUAACUGUGAACAUCUUGACGGUACCUAAUCAGAAAGCCACGGCUAACUACGUG
RNAcentral lists this ribosomal RNA (497 nucleotides) under uncultured bacterium. Its description in RNAcentral is "partial 16S ribosomal RNA". It matches the Rfam family "Bacterial small subunit ribosomal RNA", at positions 28 to 507 of the family's 1533-position model. The record is from RNAcentral.